UUGUGCUGAUUGCAUAAUGCGGGUCUGGCUGCCCUUCCCUGGUGGCUCUGCUCAUCCCCGGGCUCGGGCUUCCGCUGCUCCAGGACCAGAGCAGGGACAGGGCAGCCCCCAGGCCUCCCAGGGGCCACGCUUCCUCUCCCUAACUGUGGGCUGGCUCUUCUGCGGCCGACUGCUAGAAGGAUCUUAUCCCGGGGUAACAGCUGUGUCUUCCAGGGUUUGUCUCUGCUUAUGCCCUGCCUUAUUCUCUCAGAAAUCCCAGAGCAGUGCAUUCCCCAGUGAGGCACAUUUGGCAAGACUGACAGCAGGCAGGUUUUGCGAGGGGUAAUUGAGCGUGUUUUGUAAACAGGUCCUGGGUCACUAGUUUAUAUAAACAUGAAGAUUUGGUUGGUUGAGCGUAGAAGAGCAGUAGGAUUCUAAGGGUCAGGAUUUGAAUACAGAAGCAAUUUUCUAGACCUUUCUUUUUGUAAACGGUGUCCUGAAAUCAAUAAACUAGCAAUUCAGAGCAUACGCAAGUUCAGACCGGUACCAAAAGCCAAAUCGCAUGCCUUUGUGGUAAAAAUAAGCAGGGCAUUUGGUCCCUACUGGCUUCGCUGGUCACUGCAGAUGACAUUUCAAAGACAAAGACCGUUUACCACAUUUGAAUGUUGCCAAGAUUCCCAAUUUGCAGUCUCAUUAGAAAUGCUUUCUCAUCUCUUCAAGAAAAUUGAAUGGAAAUUUCCAGUUCAUUCAAUGAAAUUGUGCUUAUGUCUCUUCUCCUUGUCUUUGGGAUGGAGGACUAAAUUAGAAACAAUAAUUUUCUCUGAGCUUGAUCUGUUCAUAGGAAAUACAUACGGAAUUUUAAAUAUAUUCAUUUUCUCAAAAUUGGCCUUUCUAAGUGACCGUGUGUGUGAUUUACUGCAGAAUCUCUCAUAGUGCGAGUCAAGGCUGACCACCCACUGUGCCAGACAGAACUGUGGAUUUGCACCCACUCUCGGUCCCCUGAGUGAAGGUCUGCAGGGUAGAGACAUGCUCUGUUUGAAGCAGAAUCUCCAAUGAUCCUUAAGGCCACCAAAGUUUGAGAAUCACCGACUUACAUUAGUUCUGUGGAAAGUCUUCUAGAUGUAUGGCAUCUUUUCUUUUUCAAGAAAAAUGAUCUGCCAGUUAACCUGUUUUGCCAUAUCUGUAUAGUUUAUUGUUUAAAAAAAUUCCAAUUUUUAAACUUGGCCACCUGUGGCAUGACUUUAUUUUACGUUGAACAGGGAUGGCCAAACUUGGAAAGAUAUUUCUAUUCCAGUGUUCGAUAAAGUGUCUCUCUGACCUUUUAUUUCUUAAUGAAGCCAUAGUUGUUGCCUCUGAGGCCACAGAUGCCAAGACCCUGAAAAUUAGCGAGGAGUCUGAAUUUUCUCUUCCGUGGCCGUUUGAGGCACUUCCAGGAUAAUUUUUACCAAAAUAUCAAAAAAGAAAAAUACCAAAUGUGAGAUGCUGAGAGUUCAUCAUAUAUACGUUCUGUUCUAUCUACUUUAUUUUAUAAUAAUACUGUGAUUUCCACUUUACAAAUCAUCCUUAAAAACCUUGAAGAUAUGUGAUGCAUGUUGUAGGGUGGACCACAGACUCCCACCUUGGAUCCUGGGUGUGGGCUCUUCAGGGUAACCCUGCCUCCUGUUUGUGGGCAAGGAAGUUUCCACAUCAAGCUGUCCUAAACUGUGCAGAGGGCAGCUGGAAGUACAUGAGAGUCUUGACUACAUUUCAGAAUUGGGGGAGUCAACGCAGACACGGUGGUGAUAGUCAUGGUGGAAAUUUGUUUUCGACCCCCGGUUUUCGUUAUAUGUGAUCAGUCACUCAUUAGACGAGAAAGUGACAUCUAAGCUUGUCCGAGGGGCAUAGAACACGUUUUCUGUGUCUUGUUAGGUGUUUGGGGUAUUUACUUUCUGCUAUUGUUUUUCAUAAUUCAUUCUUUUUUCUUUCUUUACUAUUGACGUGUCUAUUUGGGUGAUGGGCAUAUAGUUAUACAUUUUCAGUAGGUUUUAAGUGUUUUAUAAGUUAAAAAUAAAAUACAUAAAAUGUAAUUUUUUAAAAAGUAGCUCAGGUCCACUAUAGAAAUUUGAAAAUAAAAGAGCACAUGAGGAAAGUACCAGUUUCCUGUAAUACUGUUGCCUAGAAAUUAAACAGUGAUACAAAUUUG
Orcinus orca (killer whale) is the source of this 2161-nucleotide long non-coding RNA. RefSeq lists it as uncharacterized. The record is from RefSeq and is a predicted model, not a curated record. The transcript is spliced from 2 exons. NCBI's taxonomy places the organism in Eukaryota, Metazoa, Chordata, Mammalia, Artiodactyla, Delphinidae.